GGUCCUGUAGCUCAGCUGGAUAGAGCAUCGGUUUCCUAAACCGUGUGUCAUGGGUUCGAAUCUCAUCAGGAUCA
RNAcentral lists this transfer RNA (74 nucleotides) under Lactobacillus xujianguonis. It matches the Rfam family "tRNA". Rfam says of the family: Transfer RNA (tRNA) molecules are approximately 80 nucleotides in length. Their secondary structure includes four short double-helical elements and three loops (D, anti-codon, and T loops). The record is from Rfam by way of RNAcentral. Lineage: Bacteria; Bacillati; Bacillota; Bacilli; Lactobacillales; Lactobacillaceae.